UUUGACAUGGAACGCCCAUCGAUUCGUUGAACACUGGCAUUCAUCAUCCAACCACAGUGUCCACUUUCCUCUUUUGAGGACUCCCAGAUUCAUUCGGUCUUUUCUGAUUCAUAACCUAGUAUUCUCGUCUUUUCUUUGCUUUGAGACGAUCGAUCUCCUCAUAUCCGGGCUAACUCUCCAAUCUUCAGACUUUGAAGAGUCUUCUAGAUUACCCUCUAGGAUCGUUGUCCUUCUUUCGCUGUCGUUUCACC
Molecule: long non-coding RNA, 251 nt
Filed under: Lathyrus oleraceus (garden pea)
Lineage: Eukaryota; Viridiplantae; Streptophyta; Magnoliopsida; Fabales; Fabaceae
Description: Pisum sativum (pea) long non-coding RNA (PSAT_LNC027239)
Source: RNAcentral